RNAcentral lists this ribosomal RNA (528 nucleotides) under Metarhizium anisopliae. RNAcentral describes it as "SSU rRNA". It matches the Rfam family "Bacterial small subunit ribosomal RNA", at positions 377 to 906 of the family's 1533-position model. The record is from RNAcentral. Lineage: Eukaryota; Fungi; Ascomycota; Sordariomycetes; Hypocreales; Clavicipitaceae.
GCAAGUCUUAUUUUGAUUAUAUUAUUAUAUAUAAUCUAUAAGAUUGUAUUAAAAUUGAAUAAAGCUUUGUUUAUAUAUCGAUAAUGACGGUAUAUAUAUCGUGUCUUGGCUAAUUACGUGCCAGCAGCCGCGGUAAUACGUAAGAGACUAGUGUUAUUCAUCUUAAUUAGGUUUAAAGGGUACCUAGACGGUCAAUAUAGCUUCUAUAAUGUUAGUACUUGACUAGAGUUUGAUAUAAGAGGGCAGUACUUGAGGAGGAGAGAUGAAAUUCUAUUAUACCAAAGGGACUCGGUAAAGGCGAAGGCAGCCCUCUAUGUAAAAACUGACGUUGAAGGACGAAGGCACAGAGCACAAACAGGAUUAGAUACCCAAGUAGUCUUUGCAGUAAAUGAUGAAUGUCAUAGGUUAGAUUAAGCUUUAAUUAAUUAGUUUAUCAGUAAUGAACUAACUAUUAAACAAUAUUUAGUCUAUAAAUGAAAGUGUAAGCAUUCCACCUCAAGAGUAAUGUGGCAACGCAGGAACUGAAAU